UCAUUUUUCAAUUCAUUUUCAUGGUAUCAAAAUCAGCUAGUUACAAACAAUACAACCAAAAAGAUUAUAUUGCAACUUAUUAGUAGAAAAAAACGAAAGAC
Long non-coding RNA from Melitaea cinxia (Glanville fritillary), 101 nucleotides. RefSeq lists it as uncharacterized. The record is from RefSeq and is a predicted model, not a curated record. The transcript is spliced from 3 exons. NCBI's taxonomy places the organism in Eukaryota, Metazoa, Arthropoda, Insecta, Lepidoptera, Nymphalidae.